RNAcentral lists this ribosomal RNA (253 nucleotides) under uncultured bacterium. RNAcentral's name for it is "partial 16S ribosomal RNA". It matches the Rfam family "Bacterial small subunit ribosomal RNA", at positions 524 to 776 of the family's 1533-position model. The record is from RNAcentral.
UACGUAGGGGGCAAGCGUUGUCCGGAAUCAUUGGGCGUAAAGAGCGUGUAGGCGGCUCGGUAAGUCCGCUGUGAAAGUCCAGGGCUCAACCCUGGAAUGCCGGUGGAUACUGUCGGGCUAGAGUCCGGAAGGGGCGAGUGGAAUUCCUGGUGUAGCGGUGAAAUGCGCAGAUAUCAGGAGGAACACCAAUGGCGAAGGCAGCUCGCUGGGACGUGACUGACGCUGAGACGCGAAAGCGUGGGGAGCAAACAGG